GUAGGUGAACCUGCGGAAGGAUCAUUAUUGAAAUAAAUCUGAUGAGUUGCUGCUGGUUCUCCAGGGAGCAUGUGCACGCUUGUCAUCUUUAUAUCUCCACCUGUGCACCUUUUGUAGACCUGGAUAUCUCUCUGAAUGCUAGUCAUUCAGGAUUGAGGAUUGACUUCAUUUCAUGUCUCUCCUUCCAUUUCCAGGCCUAUGUUUCUUCAUAUACCCCAAUGUAUGUCAUAGAAUGUAAUCAGUGGCCUUUGUGCCUAUAAACUUAUACAACUUUCAGCAACGGAUCUCUUGGCUCUC
This 297-nucleotide unclassified non-coding RNA is filed under the name rhizosphere metagenome. Its description in RNAcentral is "partial ribosomal RNA internal transcribed spacer region". The record is from RNAcentral.